UCUCAACUCACUGCAAACUCCGCCUCCCAGGUUCAAGCAAUUCUCUUGCCUCAGUCUCCUGAGUAACUGAGAUUACAGAUGCCUGCCACCACACGAAGCUAAUUGGUUGGGUGUGGUGGGGCUUUCCAAUGAUUACUUAUUAAUGAUUACUUAUGAAAAACAACAACAACAAAAAAGCCAUCUUGAAGCUGCUUUUAAUGAGAAAACAAAUGUGCUCCCAAGCAACAGAGCAGCGAAAUUCUUUAUUACUGGAUUCUAACUUUCCUCUCUAACUGUAACUGUCUCAGCUCCACUUCAUGUGACCUGGAGGGUAUGUUGCAACCUGCGUCUUCACCACCCAUUCAUGAAGAUCUAUAAAACUAAUGUAAACUGCUGGGGCAAUUUCAACAUGAGUCAACUGGAGAUUGUUACUUGGUGAGAAUGCGCAAGUGGCAAAGAUCUAAAUUUGUUCAGCUAAUUUGUAAUUAACCUUCGCUUCUCACAUGUCAGUAUGUGAAGUGUCUGGUUUAAGCAAUUUAUCCAAAAAAGCCAUAGACUCUUUAAAUAACAACAAAACCUGGGCCUGGAAUUUUAUAAAGGCAGAAUGAGUAAGACACGGUUUCGGUGUGCUUUUUUAAAGAAAACAGGGUCUUGCUCUGUUGCCCAGGAUGAAAUGCCAUGCUGCAUUUACAGCUCACUGCAGCCUUGACCUCCCACCUCAGCUUCCAGAGGAGCUGGGAUUACAGGUGUGCACCACCACGCCCAGCUAAUUUAAAAAAUUUUUGUAGAAACAGGGUGUCACUGUGUUGCCCAGGCUGGUCUCCAGCAAUCCUCUGGCCUUGACCCCCUAAAGUGUGGGGAUUACACGCACGAGCAACUUGCCACUUACUAUCUGACUGUGACCUGGAACCAGAAAGGAGAUUCCGAGAGUGUGCUCAAUCAAUCACAAACUGACCUUUUUCAUGGGUUUCUUGAACUCCUGUAGCUCUUCAGCACUCAUGCCUUCCCAUACCUGAUAAAUAGGAUCAAUGAAUUUCUUUGACCUGUCAACAAAGAUCACAUUUCAAAGUCAAGUUAAAUACUUCAGCAGAAGUCAAAAUUGGUUUGGAUCUUUUCUCACAAGAUCUAUUACCCAAAACCAAGAAGUGAAAACUACAGCUUAAAUAAUUACAUUAAAAAAAACCUGGCUGGGCGCAGUGGCUCACGCCUGUAAUCCCAGCACUUUGGGAGGCUGAGGUGGGCAGAUCAUGAGGUCAGGAGAUCAAGACCAUCCUGGCUAACACGGUGAAACCC
RNAcentral lists this long non-coding RNA (1272 nucleotides) under Homo sapiens (human). Its description in RNAcentral is "HSALNT0228730". Lineage: Eukaryota; Metazoa; Chordata; Mammalia; Primates; Hominidae. The record is from RNAcentral.